UAUUAUUAAAAUUGUUGUUUUUUGUUGCUUGAGUAGUAAUAGAUAAGGUCUUAAAACUCAAAGAAUUUGGCGGUAUGUUAGUCUUUUCAGAGGAAUCUGUCUAUUAAUUGAUACCACACAUUAUUAAUGUACUUAGUUAGGUAAUUCAGCUUGUAUAUCGUCGUUAUAAGAUUAUUUUUUUAGAAUUUAAUUUUCUUGUUAUUAUUAAGAUAUUAUAACAGAUCAAGGUGCAGCAGUUAAUUAAGAUUAAGAUGGAUUACAAUAAAUUUAUUUAUUAUGAAUUUUGGGAUGUUAUUAAAAUUGAAGGUGGAUUUGAAAGUAAUUUUGUUAUAUUAUGAUAAUUUGAUUGGAGCUCUAACCUGUGUACAAAUCGCCCGUCGCUCUCUUUAUAUAAGAG
Molecule: ribosomal RNA, 397 nt
Filed under: Hyperphrona irregularis
Lineage: Eukaryota; Metazoa; Arthropoda; Insecta; Orthoptera; Tettigoniidae
Description: partial 12S ribosomal RNA
Source: RNAcentral